UAAGAUAAGGUGUUCAUGUGCAACUUGG
Molecule: non-coding RNA, 28 nt
Filed under: Mus musculus (house mouse)
Lineage: Eukaryota; Metazoa; Chordata; Mammalia; Rodentia; Muridae
Source: RNAcentral